RNAcentral lists this ribosomal RNA (671 nucleotides) under uncultured fungus. Its description in RNAcentral is "eukaryotic LSU rRNA". The stretch from base 225 to 378 matches the Rfam family "5.8S ribosomal RNA". Lineage: Eukaryota; Fungi. The record is from RNAcentral.
CUUGGUCAUUUAGAGGAAGUAAAAGUCGUAACAAGGUUUCUGUAGGUGAACCUGCAGAAGGAUCAUUAGUGAAUGCCUGGGCUGUCAUACGGACUGCGGUCUCUGACGCCCACCCACUAUAUCCGCAAACCCUGUGCACUGUGGUGUUGUCUUGGACACACCUCGCCAACCAACUCGUCUUUGUAUCUGUACGUGUCUACUUGGCCUAAGCCAAAAAUCAACACAACUUUCGACAACGGAUCUCUUGGUUCUCCCAUCGAUGAAGAACGCAGCGAAACGCGAUAGGUAAUGUGAAUUGCAGAAUUCCGUGAAUCAUCGAAUCUUUGAACGCACCUUGCGCUCCAUGGCAUUCCGUGGAGCAUGCCUGUUUGAGUGCCGCGAAAUCUCCCACCCCUAGCGGUUGCCGCAAGGCGCCGCCGGGCGGCGGGGUUGGUUGGGUGCCGCUGCCUGGGCUUUGGCCCAGGCUCGCCCGAAAUGCAUGAGCGCUUAGCACUCGCACCGUCUCGAGGGAAGGCGGCGGAGCUGGCAUCUGCGCAUGGCAUGAUACGUCAUUUGCUGUGUGGCAGCCCAGCGACCCGAGAGUGUGUGUGCGCUACUACACGCCCUUUCAUUUCUGGUCUCAAAUCAGGUAGGAUCACCCGCUGAACUUAAGCAUAUCAAUAAGCGGAGGA